Molecule: small RNA, 534 nt
Filed under: Vigna angularis var. angularis
Lineage: Eukaryota; Viridiplantae; Streptophyta; Magnoliopsida; Fabales; Fabaceae
Description: Non-protein coding transcript
Source: RNAcentral
AGGUAAUAGAAUUAUGGAGACUGCUUAGAAUAAACCAAAUGCAGUGAGGAGGCACAUGGUUUUCCUGUCUAAACAGCAUACAUGGUAUUUCCUCAACUGAAGAAAUGAACGAAACCCAGUCAAGGGAUCACUCCUUGUCAAGAUGAACACAAGUAUAUGUGGUAUCCUAUUUGAAGAUCGAGUAUAAGCCACAUCUCGCUGUACAACUGGAAAGAAUGCAGGCUACAAUAUGAAUGAAACCCAGACAAGGGAUCAUUCCUUGGUAAGGUGAACAGUACAAGUUCUAUCCUAUUUGAAGAUGGAAUAUAAGCUCCAUCUCGCUGUACAACUUGAAAAAAUGCAAUGUGCAGUAGCAAUUAUGUAUGAAUGGUAGUCAAAUUGAAUGAGACCAAGAAGCCAAUUUAAAGCUUAUUGGAAGUUAGCAUGCUAAAAUGGGAAGGGGGCCCAUUUUAUACCAAAAAUAAUUGCGACGAUGCUCGGCUGAUUCUUUUGUUGGUUACCAUUUCAAUUUUCAACUGCAGUUUUUUCCCUUGA